This 725-nucleotide ribosomal RNA is filed under the name Microbacterium sp. W22B1. Its description in RNAcentral is "bacterial SSU rRNA". It matches the Rfam family "Bacterial small subunit ribosomal RNA", at positions 30 to 769 of the family's 1533-position model. The record is from RNAcentral. Lineage: Bacteria; Bacillati; Actinomycetota; Actinomycetes; Micrococcales; Microbacteriaceae.
GCUANGCUGGCGGCGUGCUUACACAUGCAAGUCGAACGGUGAAGCCAAGCUUGCUUGGUGGAUCAGUGGCGAACGGGUGAGUAACACGUGAGCAACCUGCCCUGGACUCUGGGAUAAGCGCUGGAAACGGCGUCUAAUACUGGAUAUGAGCUCCUAUCGCAUGGUGGGGGUUGGAAAGAUUUUUCGGUCUGGGAUGGGCUCGCGGCCUAUCAGCUUGUUGGUGAGGUAAUGGCUCACCAAGGCGUCGACGGGUAGCCGGCCUGAGAGGGUGACCGGCCACACUGGGACUGAGACACGGCCCAGACUCCUACGGGAGGCAGCAGUGGGGAAUAUUGCACAAUGGGCGGAAGCCUGAUGCAGCAACGCCGCGUGAGGGAUGACGGCCUUCGGGUUGUAAACCUCUUUUAGCAGGGAAGAAGCGAGAGUGACGGUACCUGCAGAAAAAGCGCCGGCUAACUACGUGCCAGCAGCCGCGGUAAUACGUAGGGCGCAAGCGUUAUCCGGAAUUAUUGGGCGUAAAGAGCUCGUAGGCGGUUUGUCGCGUCUGCUGUGAAAUCCCGAGGCUCAACCUCGGGCCUGCAGUGGGUACGGGCAGACUAGAGUGCGGUAGGGGAGAUUGGAAUUCCUGGUGUAGCGGUGGAAUGCGCAGAUAUCAGGAGGAACACCGAUGGCGAANGCAGAUCUCUGGGCCGUAACUGACNCUNAAGANCGAAAGGGUGGGGNAG